This 1878-nucleotide long non-coding RNA is filed under the name Lactuca sativa (garden lettuce). Its description in RNAcentral is "long non-coding RNA (LSAT_LNC009455)". The record is from RNAcentral. Lineage: Eukaryota; Viridiplantae; Streptophyta; Magnoliopsida; Asterales; Asteraceae.
UUUGUUGCUAUAGUAUGUAUUCCAUAUUUUUUUUCUUAUUAGCAAUGGGAUGAAAUUGCCUAGCAAUUGAUGCAAAAUAUCGAAUGAGAAUUAUUAAAGUUUGGUUGUAUGAACUUUGUUGCAAAAUGUUAUUGUAAGACUAAUUUGGUUGUAUGAAAUUUAUUUCAAUGUUUUAGGACUACAACUAUUAAAUUUUCUGUGUUUAAAAACCAUUUUAGGUUUAUCAAAUUAGUUUAUUUUAAUUUUUUAAUGUUUGUAGCAAUCUGCAGAUGUUAACAAAAACAAACAUGUUUGUUAUUACACUCUGCAGUCGUUUGGUCCACCUCUUCUGCUACAGAGGUUUAUAGAGGUGGUCCGCAGACUUUUUGAAUUUUACCUUCAGAAAAACGAACAACACCUUAGACUUCAUCAUCUUCAUAUACAAAAGCCACUACCACCAAGCCUCACGAUUUCCGUUCAUCAUCAUCCAUACAUCCACAAUCAUCGACUUCAUAUUUUAUACAAAAUGCUCGACUUCUAAUCUCAUCAACGUCGGUGAUGAGAAGGAAAGGCGCACCAAAUCAGGUUCGUCUUGGGGUUCGGAAAUAUCCUAGAAAUUCUUACUUUUGGUAUACAUCUUCAGCCCCUCGUAGCCUAUGUUAGUUAUUUUAAAAUUAGAAAUCUAAGUUUGGCGGUCUCAAGAUGCGUCGAGAGGGGAAGUGAGGAAAAAUGCUUGGUUUGCCGAAAUCAGAGUUAGUUCAUCUUGACCUUUGUCAUCACCAGAGGCCACAACAAUGAUCCAACCCUUAAUUCCCUUUCCCUAACUUUUUCCCUUCGUACGAGAAAAUGUGGUGACUAUUGUUCAAUACAUACCACAAAUGAAAUUCGAUUACAAGAUGUUAUGUGUAUCAAGAAAAAUUGAAAGGUUGUCGUCCCGAUAUCCGAUCCAAAUUGACCCCUCUUAUUCGACUAAGGUUUAUCGUCGUCUUCCUCUGUGCGAGAGACGCCUCCCCAUCUUCAACCUCUUCACCUGGUUAGUUUUCUUACAAUGGUUUUUACUCAUUUGAGCCUUAAAUCUUCCUCUUCUUCUAGGGUUUGAACGGCCCCUCUUAUGUUGGGGAUAGAACGACCCAUCUGAUGUUUCCUUAUUCUUCUUGCCUCAAUGAAUCAUCAUUCACCUAUGAUUAUUUCUGAUGAUUAAUUCCUUUCAAGGAAUUUGGUUGUGUUUCUCUAUGUACCCAUUUGUGUUUUCUAACAUUUUAUGAUAAUUUUAAGAGAAAUAAAUUAGUUUAAUUUCUUUAGUAUCUUGUAAAGCCUUGAAAUUCAUUGAUAAGUGUCUACUUAUGAACUGUUUUGGUUAUGCAGAAACUUAAUCUGAAACCAUUACUCACAAGAUUGAAGUUUUUUUCCCAAGAUUGUAUGUUUAAAACAAAGAUUCUUAUUCUUAGUAUUAUCAAAUCAUUCAUUUUAAUUUUGAUCGAAUUUGAUUAUUGCUUAUAGAUAUUUUUGUUUUUUAUAGAACCUUUCAUUGGGUUGAUACGAAGAAAAUGAGAACAAGUGACAAUCUUUAAAAAAAUGACAACAUUUCUUCAAGAAUAAAGAGUAUUUUCUCAAGAAUGAAGGAUAUUUUUCAAAAAUGAAGCAUGUUAUUUCGUAUUCUUCCAAGAAUGAAAUGUUCCUUUGAUGAAUAUUCUAAUUCUUUUUAGGAAUGGUUAUACUUUAGUAGAAUUUUUAUUGAAUUCGAUGUAAAUACAAUGUUCCAACCUAUUCUUUGAAAAAUGACACCAUUUCCUUUCUUAUAAAUUUUAAGAAUGAAAAUUGUAUUCUUUAAUAAAAUUUAAAAUGAAAUAAAUACUUUAAUUAAUGUGUUUGUAUAUUUACUAAAGUUUGGUUCAAAGC